UUGAACGGGAAUAAUGGUGCCAAUAUUCUGAAUGAAUAACAUUAAAGAAAUAAAAGCACAAGUUUUUUUGUCACCCUUUUCAAAACCUUAGGCCAUCGCCAUUUGCUAUCAAAGUGGCGAUUUCUUUCUUUUUCUGGUUUUCCAGUGCCAUUUUCUUGCUGAUUUCCUCAAUCAAAGAGAUGAUUUAGUUCACCCACCACUGAUUUCUGUCGUUAGUUGACUAUUUUGUUCACGGCUUCUCAUGGGUGCAGAGCUUUUCUUAUUGGGUUCGAAAAGUCAUGUACCUUCAGAUUAUGGAUGCUAACAAAUCACUAAGUUCUUUCAGUGCGGCAUUUGAUGGUACUACAAUGAUAGGAUCAUUAUUCAUCUUAUGAGCUUUGGGCUAGGAUUGAGGAGAAGAAUUCUGGAUUUAUGAACAAAGUGGCUUAGAGAAGAUUCCAAGGAUAGGAAGAAUGAAGCAGACAUAAAAUAUACUCCCAUACAAUACUAAAAGAAUGAAUGUUCUGUUGAGUUUUCUCCAAACUAAAGAAAAGCUCAAAUAACGUUGUGUAUCAUUCAUCUCAAGUAUUCUCUGCAAAUAG
Molecule: non-coding RNA, 581 nt
Organism: Nicotiana tabacum (common tobacco)
Lineage: Eukaryota; Viridiplantae; Streptophyta; Magnoliopsida; Solanales; Solanaceae
Source: RefSeq, a predicted model, not a curated record